RNAcentral lists this ribosomal RNA (313 nucleotides) under uncultured Parcubacteria group bacterium. Its description in RNAcentral is "bacterial SSU rRNA". It matches the Rfam family "Bacterial small subunit ribosomal RNA", at positions 28 to 351 of the family's 1533-position model. The record is from RNAcentral.
GAUGAACGCUGGCGGCGUGGAUAAGGCAUGCAAGUCACGGGGGCUCUUCGGAGCAACCGGCAAACGGGUUAGUAAUGCAUAGGAACGUACCGAGAAGUUUGGCAUAGCUCUCCGAAAGGGGAGGUAAUUCCAAAUAGUCUCCGGCUUCGGCCGGAGUAAAGGUAAUAGCAAUAUUACCGCUUCUUGAGCGGCCUGUGUCCUAUCAGCUUGUUGGUGAGGUAAAAGCUCACCAAGGCUAUGACGGGUAGGGGAUGUGAGAGCAUGAUCCCCAACAUUGGAACUGAGACACUGUCCAAACACCUACGGGUGGCUG